This 223-nucleotide long non-coding RNA is filed under the name Theobroma cacao (cacao). Its description in RNAcentral is "long non-coding RNA (TCAC_LNC004923)". Lineage: Eukaryota; Viridiplantae; Streptophyta; Magnoliopsida; Malvales; Malvaceae. The record is from RNAcentral.
CAACCGAGUUCGCCAAGGCUGUGAAAAAUUUUAUAUAAUCAUAAAACUUGUUUUUAUUUUGACAACAUAGCCGUUCCUUGGCGUUGGCUGAGUCUCACUCUCACGCGGUGGUCCACGUGAAGUGCACUCAAAAAGCCCACCUCAAGAGAUACCCUACGCGCCUCUACGACCGAGGUGAGAAUAUAAAGGAGUUUACCGUGCCCCUCUAAUAGGCUAGUCCACG